UACGGGAGGCAGCAGUGGGGGAAUAUUGCACAAUGGGGGAAACCCUGAUGCAGCCAUGCCGCGUGUGUGAAGAAGGCCUUCGGGUUGUAAAGCACUUUCAGUAGGGAGGAAGGUAGUGUAGUUAACACCUGCAUUAUUUGACGUUACCUACAGAAGAAGCACCGGCUAACUCCGUGCCAGCAGCCGCGGUAAUACGGAGGGUGCGAGCGUUAAUCGGAAUUACUGGGCGUAAAGCGCAUGCAGGCGGCCUGUUAAGUCAGAUGUGAAAGCCCGGGGCUUAACCUCGGAAUUGCAUUUGAAACUGGCAGGCUAGAGUCUUGUAGAGGGGGUAGAAUUUCAGGUGUAGCGGUGAAAAUGCGUAGAGAUCUGAAGGAAUACCAGUGGCGAAGGCCGGCCCCCUGGACAAAGACUGACGCUCAGAUGCGAAAGCGGUGGGGAGCAAACAGGAUUAGAUACCCUGGUAG
Molecule: ribosomal RNA, 464 nt
Filed under: uncultured bacterium
Lineage: Bacteria
Description: bacterial SSU rRNA
Rfam family: Bacterial small subunit ribosomal RNA
Source: RNAcentral